RNAcentral lists this ribosomal RNA (253 nucleotides) under uncultured bacterium. RNAcentral describes it as "partial 16S ribosomal RNA". It matches the Rfam family "Bacterial small subunit ribosomal RNA", at positions 524 to 776 of the family's 1533-position model. The record is from RNAcentral.
UACGGGGGGGGCAAGCGUUGUUCGGAAUUACUGGGCGUAAAGGGCUCGUAGGUGGCCAACUAAGUCAGACGUGAAAUCCCUCGGCUUAACCGGGGAACUGCGUCUGAUACUGGAUGGCUAGAGUUUGGGAGAGGGAUGCGGAAUUCCAGGUGUAGCGGUGAAAUGCGUAGAUAUCUGGAGGAACACCGGUGGCGAAGGCGGCAUCCUGGACCAACACUGACGCUGAGGAGCGAAAGCGUGGGUAGCAAACAGG